AUCGGUCUAAGGCCGUCGCCGACCAAUUCGCCACUUGCUCCACCAAAGGCCUGGUCCUCCGCCACUCGGUACCUGCUCCUCCACCUCCAGUACAUGCACCGUCGCUGCCCAGUAUGUGUGCCUCCGUGAUCCACUCCUGCCGCCACCGCCAAGGACCUACGCCGCCAAGAUCCGGUCGAUCUCGUCAUCAUCAAACUCCCGCGCAUGCCUGGACGUCAAGCUAGUCCUCCUCCUUCUCCCGUGUCGCCAGGCUCGUUCUACUGCUCCCCUAGUGAUCAAGGUUCCGUCGGAGAUACCCUGCUACCCACUUCCUCUACUGCCGCCGGAGCUGUCGUGUGAUCUACUCUUCCACUCACAACACCUACUCUCCAUGACCAGGCGAUGCUCCUCCUCCACGCCCAACACCUCACUUCUCACCCAGCAGCAGAUCCUCUACUUCGCACCUAUAGAUCAAGUGGAGACUAGUCAAUCUGAGUAUGAGCAACAGGUAAAUUUAUCAAUACACAGGAGUAUCAUUUGUAGCAGUAGUAUCUGUAGGAGCAGUAUCUUCUGUAGUAGCAAUUGAUCAGUCUCAACAGUAAUCUAUAGUAAUAUCAAAGAUCAAACUUGCCACGCGCCUCUCCUCUUCGGGUACAACAUUUUUUUGAUGUUUUAAAACAUGAGCAAACUGAACAUCAUAACAUGUUUCAGUUAGAAUGACCAAUACUGUGAAAUUUCAGAAACUGAAUUAGAAACGUGUUUUCCAAGAUGUGCGUAUGCACAGUAUUGUAAAAGUACAAUAGAAUAUGAUUUGUACUUGAAAUUAGGAUGAACAGUAAACUAGUAAUGAAAGUAAACUAUAAUUUGUUAUAAAGAUUUUCCUACUAAAAAUAACGGGAUGGAUAGAAAAGGGUGAAAAGAUAACUGAAUGCUAGGCUAAAAUGGACAGUAAACUGAUAAUGACUAUUGCCAACAAGAGUAGGAAAAUGUGAGCUUCUAAAAUUUGUUACAUAAAUUUUCCUAGUGAAAAGAUAACUGAUUUUCGUGUACUGAAAAUUUAUAGUGCCGAGUUCAGGAAAGUUUACUCAAUUUUGUGGAGCACUCAAAGUGCUUUGAACUAAUAAAUCAUUAAAGUUCAAAGCCUAGAGAAUCAUCAAAGUUCAGCAAUAAGCAUCAAUCCAAAAUCAUCUAUAUGCAUUCAAAAAAUAAAAAUUCAACAAAUUUGGUGUCAAGCUUAUUUCUAUCAAAAUUUAAAUUGAAAAAUAUCAAGGUUUCCAUUGAAUGAACAGAGUUUGGGCACUGAAUUUGUAAGCCAUGGUAUAAUGAGCUUGGGCUUACAAAUUUUCAGUAGUUUUGACACUUGCUUGCAAAUUCAGUAGUUUUUUCCUAUUCCUAAUGUUUCCUGAUUUUUAAACUUGCUUGCAAUAAGCUUGCAGUACACUUUUAAAUUCAGAUCAGAAGCCAAGAUGUAAAACUGAAUUUUAACUAAACUUUUACUCCAAGAAUAGGAGUAUCAUGCAUGCUUAACUAGAUUUUUAACAUAAUCGCUCUCUUGGUUUAGGAGUACUUAAUUUCAAUCUCUCUCUUAGCCUAGGAGUACUGAAUUUUUGUAGUAGAUUUGCACUGAUUUUCCAAGCACAACCAGUAUCCAUUCAUUUACACUUCAUUCAAUCAUAAAGAAAGAAAAUGCUCACAUGAUAAAUUUUAUUCAAACAUGAUAAAUUUAGGACAAAAUCACACACACACCAGCUCUAGUAACAUGAUAAUCCAUGAAUGGAGACAAUUAGACAGACAUGCUUAUCAUAUUCACACAUGAUAAUCCAUUAAUGGAGACAACUAGACAAACACACACAACCACCACUAGCAGAUGGAAUUGUACAACACAAGCAGAGAUAGGGAUUGUACAACCUGAAGGUCGACGAUGAGGUCGUACAGAUCAGAGAGGUAGCAGCAGUUGCCGCCGGCUAGGUGUGCCAGCACGGCGUACGCAAAUACACUUGUGAGUUUUACAAAUUGAAAAUUAUGACCGCGGUGUAAUCCGAGACAGAGGACUGCACAAAAUGAUGAAUCAUUGGAAGGUCUGAUUAACUAAAUUCACAGCUAGUGAACAUGGAAACAAAGGAAUGUAACAACUCGCGUUUUGGAAAUUACAUGGAAGUACAAAGUCUUAGUUGAGAAGCAGAUUACCUUGAGAACUUCAUGUUAAUAGCCAGGAUCUUCAUGCUUUGCUUACAAGCUGAUAUCAAUUUCACAAGGAGAUAUCAACUUUUUAGUUUUGAAAGUCAAGCAUCUUGACCUAUGCUCUGUCGUCGUGGGAGGUGGUAGCUCUCCUACCAACGCAAGAUGGGCGAUGAAGGCGGGGAUGGUUGUUGCUGCUUUCGGGGGAGAGCUUCUGCCGGCUCUAAUGGAUAGUGGUGGUCAAGAAGGAUGAGGUUGGCGGUGAGGUGGACAGUGGUGUCUGUUGAGCGGCAAGACGGGGGACGGAUUCAUUGUCGGUGGAGGUGAGCCGACGAGGAGGUAGUCCACGAAGGACAGGUCUAGCUUCGGCUUGCCACCCUCGGACGUCGUGCUGGUCGCUGUUGGAUGGGCAGGGCCAGAUCAAAAAAAGCAAGUGUUCGCCUGGCCGUGGUUCACCAUGGGGAACGAGGAGACGAACAAAGAGGGGAAGCAGCAUAGGCGUGGGCCGGGGCAGGUCCGGCGAGGGAGAAGAGCAGGGGAGACGAGCUUUGGAGCUCAAAUGCAGAGGAGACGAGUGGGGGAGCUUCGAUUGAGAGGAGACGAGCACGAGACGCGAGUAGUGCGGGUUGUGUCAGGAAUUUCCCGAGGGUUUUCGUGCAAAAUUGCCAGCACGACAAGAAUUACGGGAUGGAGGGAGUAGGAGGCAUGAUAUCAUUAUAAUAAUUUUGCUCAUCAAAAUUUGAGGAACUAAAAAUAUCAUCUUUAUCAAACAUAGCAUCCCCAAACUUGUGGCUUUGCAUAUCGUUAGCAUCAUGGAUAUUCAUGAAAUUCAUACUAAUAAUAUUUCUAUAAUGCUCAUCAUUCAAGGAUUUCACAUUAACAUUUUUAUAAAUUCUUCCUCUAACAACUGAGUACAAUUUUCUGAACCAUCAUUUUCACGAAACUCAUUAUAAAGGCGAAGCAAAUGAGGCAACCUAAAUUCCAAAUUUAGUAGUUUUCUUUAUAUAACCAAAAAAGUGAAAAACAAGAAAAUAAAAGAUUUAAUUGCAAGAUCUAAAAAUAUACCUUCAAGCACUCACCUCCCCGUCAACGGUGUCAGAAAAGAGCUUGAUAUCUACUAUGCAACUUUAUUCUUGCAGAUGUUGUUGGGCCUCCAAGUACAAAGUUUGGUAGGACCUAAGGUUUAUCAACCCGUGGGAGGUUUAGGAUGAAGAUGUUCUCUCUCGAACAACCCUGCAAUCAAAUACAGGAAAGUUGUUGUGUCCCCAACACAUCAAAUACAAUGGAAAAUUGUAUAGGUGCACUAGUUCCGUGAAGAGAUAGUGAUACAAGUGUAGUAUGGAUAGUAGAUAUAGGUUUUUGUAAUCUGAAUAAAUAAAAACAACAAGGUAAUAAUUAAUAAACAACAAGAAAAACGGUAUAUAAAUGCUUGAUAAUAAAGCCUGGGUUCAUACUUUCACUAGUCCAAUCUCUUAAUACUGCUAACAUAGUAGAAUCAUAUGAUCAUCCCUCAGUGUGCAACAAAGAAUCACUCCAAAGUUCAUAAGUAGCGGAGAAAAUAAGAUGAAAUUGUUGUAGGCAGCUAGCCACCUCAAAGUUAUUCUUUCCGAUCAAUCUUUUGAGCUAUUCCUAUAAGUGUCACAAACAGCCUUAGAGUUCGUACUAGAAUAACAACCAUGAUACAUAGCAAUCAACCCUAAUGUCACCUAGAUACUCCAAUGUCACCUCACGUAUCCAUGUGCUAAUUAUACAACAUGCAUCAAACAAUUUUAAAUUCUUCAUAUUCAAACAAACACAAAGAACUUGAAAGAUCACCCCAAGAUUUCUAUGAGAGAACAUAGUUUGAAAACGUGCAAUCAACCCCUAUGCAUAGAUCCCCAAGGUCACCGGAAUCCACAAGUUGAUGUCAUAACAAUAUCAUGUGAAUCAAUAGAAUACCCCAAUGUCAAUACGGCUAUCCGCAUGCAAGACAUGCAUCAAGUGUUCUCAAACCAAAAAUAUUCAAUCCAACAUAACGAGAUCUCAAUGAGAAAGAUUCAAUUCGUCACAACAAGAUAGCAAGGGACAAACACCAUAUGAUCCAACUAUAUUAACAAAGCCAGUGAUACAUCAAGAUAGGGACAUCUCAAGAACACGAGAGAGAGAGAGAUGAAACACAUAGCUACUGGUAAAAACCCUCAGCCCUGAGGCUGAACUAUUCCCUCCUCAUCACGGCCUCCGCCGGAUGAUGAAGAUGGCCACUGGAGAUGAUUUCCCCCCUCCGGCAGGGUACUGGAAAGGCUCCAGAUGGGUUUUCGUUGAUACAUAGAGUUAUGGCAGCAUAUGAGAAGUUCUCUAUUUAAUUCUGAGUUUUUAUGUAUAUAUGCGAUUUUUUGGCGUUUGAAUCGCGCUAAAUGGAGCCACGGGGGCCACACAAGGCAUGAGGGCGCAACCCUGGGGGUGGUCGUGCCCUGUUGCCUUGUGGCCCAUAGGUGGCUCCCCUUUGGUGGUUCUUUGCUCCAAUAUUGCUCAUAUGUUCCAGAAAAAAUCAUGAAAAAGUUCCAGCCGAUUCCGAGAACUUUCAUUUUCUACACAAAAAACAACACCAUGGUAAUUCUGCUGAAAACAGCGUCAGUCCAGGUUAGUUCGAAAUAAGUCACAAAAGUGCAUCAAAGCCAUAUAAAAAAUAUUGUAAACAUAGGUGAAUAUUGCGUGAAUACUUCAUACAUUAUUUAUACAUUGUAGAUGUAUCACCAACCCCUCCAACAUGAGGGGUAGGUGAGUCACUGCGUUGAAAUCAUCACCGCGAGCGAUCUGGAUGGCCACUCAGUAAUCCUUGAGCCAAGUCUCCGGCUUUGACUCGCUACUGAACUUACUAAUUCUCCUGUCCUACCUAUAGUUGGAGGGUAUCUCAGCCUCACAGAUGUGCGUGUCAAGUACUCGAGGCCGGAGAUGCCUCAACCACCCGACUUCCCUCUGCCAGCCCAAGCUUUGCCAACCACACUUUGGGUGAUGAUGGACCUUGCAAUGAACGAGGGAGUUCGGUUAUCAUCCUCUCCAUGGACUCUAUGCCGGUAGAGGCUCUACCUAUGGUCAUCUGCAUAAGGCCGCUUGUUGUUGUAGGACCACUGUCCGAAUGAACCACCCCUAGGAGGGGGCGUCCAACUACGGAUGCGGUCAUCGUGCCUCCUAUCUAUGUACUAGCCUCUCAGAGGAGAAUGAGAUCUUCGAUGCCUUCCAGGUGCAAGCGGGCAAUGAGCCAACUGCAACAUGUCAGCCCGGACUGAAUUGUUGUAGAUGUGGAUGUGCGAUUGUGACAUCUUGGAGUUUUUCUCCAAGGCAGUCUUCAGAAGUGCAUGAAUUUGCCGAAUGCCUUUCCUGGCCCUAAAUCAGACAGCUAGCCAUAGGAAUAGCUCAAUAGAUUGAUCAAAAUAAAUAGUGUUGACGUGGUUCUACUACCUACAAAAAUUUCAUCUUAUGUUCUCCGCUACUUAUGAACUUUGGAGUGAUUCUUUGUUGCACGUUCAGGGAUGAUCAUAUGAUUUUGUUAUGUUAACAUUGUUGAGAGAUUGCACUAGUGGAAGUAUGAACCUUAGGCCUCAUUUCUAAGCAUUGCCACAACAUUUAUGCUCGCUUUAACUAUUUGUUACCUUCUGUUUUUAUAUUUUCAUAGUACAAAAACCAACAUCUACUAUCCAUACUACACUUGUAUCACCAUCUCUUUGUCGAACAAGUGCAUCUAUAAAAUUAACCAUUGUAUGGGUGUGUUGGGGACACAAGCUAAGUUGUCAGAACCGCGACUCAACUUAGAAUCAGUUGAUCUGACGGUCCAAACUAGUCCCUCUGAUUCUGCAAUUUUGCUCAUAGAAUCUAAAUUUCUAUGAUCCUGAUAGUUAUGAUUCUACGAUUCACGAUCCUAGCAACGGAGCUCUGAUCCGAUUCAGGAUCACGAUUCUGACAACUUUGGACACAAGAAAUUUCUUGUAUUUGAUUGUAGGGUUGUUUUAGAGAGACCAUUUUCAUCCUACACCUCCCACUGAUUGAUCAACCUUAGGUCAUCCACUUGACGGAAAUUUGUUGUUGUCCAACAAAACUCUACGCUUGGAGGCCCAAUAACGUCUACAAGAAUAAAGUUGCAUAGUAUACAUCACCAACUCCAAGUUCCCGAUGAAUGUGGUUAGGCGAACAUGUACUUCACACUUUUGUUCCCUUUGCCACACGAUAUAUGUUGUCGUGCUCAAGGCAACAUGCCCAUCCUUGUUGCAGCAUGACCUCUUUCUCGUUCAAGUGAAUCCGGCCAACACUUAAAUUAUCUCAGAAUUCUCAUUGCAUGUCCAUACUUAUCCACCCCGGAUCACCCGAGGGCCCCAGAGAAUAUCUCUCCUCAUUGGAGGGAAAAUCCCAUCUUGCUCGAGCAUGUGUCGUAGCAUGGGCCUAGUGUAGGAUCGAUAGUAUGUCUAGAUGGGGGGUGAUUAGUCUAAUUGACAAGAUAAAAACUUAGCCUUCUCCCAAUUUUUACUGUGGGCCAGUUUAAGCAACUAUGACUAGUCAAAUACACCCUACACAUGCAUAUAUAAGAGUAUAGCAGUGGAAAGUAAAACAUGCAAGUGUAAAGUAGAGGGUAAGGUAGGGAGAUCAAACAAAAAGGUUGACACGGCAAUUUUUGGCACGGUUCCGAUAGGUGGCACUAUCAUACGUCCACGUUAGUGGAGACUUCAACCCAUGGAGGGUAACGGCUGCGAGAGUCCACGAAGGGCUCCACCCACCAGGGGUCCACGAAGAAGCGGCCUUGUCUAUUCCACCACGGCUUCCGUCCACAUAUAACUAGCCUCACACACGGUAGAUCUUCACGAAGUAGGCGAUCUCCUUACCCUUACAAACAUCUUGGUUCAACUCCACAACAUGAAGUAGGAGACUCCCAAGCGACACCUAACCAACCUAGGAGGCACCACCCUCCAAAAGGUAAUAUAUGUGGUAGAACGAUGAAGUCCUUGUACUUGUGUUUCAAAAUAUAGUGUCCUCAACAAUCAAUCACUCUCUCUGAUCUGGCAGGGGUGGGAGAGAUUUAUAUUGUCGAAAGCAACAUGGGGAGCCUAGAAAUUAAGGUUCAAAUGAUUGGAAUGGGAUAUGUUGAUCUCAACACAUGAGUAGGUGGCUCUCUCUCAGAAAAAUGUAUCUAGCAAGUGUAAGUGUAUUCUUAGUGCUUCCACUACGAAUGAGAGGUAGGUGGAUGGGUAUAUAUAGGCAUUCCUCAAAAUCCAACCGUUAUAACAUUAUUUCCCAACUCGGUGACACUAAAAUUAAUCUUGAUGGUAUUAAGUUGCAUUAAAUGUGGCAACUUUUGAAUUCUCGGUGAAACCGAUAUAGGAAUCUCGGUGGUACCAAUACGAUAACCUAGACUGGUUGCCAAACUCGGUGAGACCAACUUAAAACUCGAAAAUUCGAAAAAUUGAAAUUAUCUCAACGAAAUGUUGGUCACGCAAUCUUGGUGGCACCGAUGGAAUUGUUGGUUGUACCGAGAUGGUGGAUUUGGCAUAGGAUCUGUCUAAGUGUAAAAUCGGUAUGGACGAGUAGGAAAUGUAGGUGGCACCGAUUUUGUAUAUUUGACUUGGGACAGAUAUAUUAUGUGGGAAAGUGGGUGAGUGUUUUUCGUGGCUAUCUCUAAGCACUUGAGCAAACAAUUCAUCAUAAUACCUCAUCCCAUUAUAAUAGUAUUGGCUCUCCUAUGGACUCAAAGUGAUUUCUCACAAAGUGUAAAAUGAAGAGUCUUCUUGCUUGAAGCUUUAGCCGAUCCUAUUCCUUCUCUUGCAUCAAAGGGGCAUCUCCAAACAAUCCUAUAGCCAGAGCAUCUUUAAACUAUUCUGAAAUGUACUUGGAUAAAUUCAUUUUUCCAAUGGUGCAUAUGUUGUGAUAAAUUACAAAAACCACCUUAGGGAGAAAUUGUGCUUUCAAUCUCCCCUUUUUUGGUAACUGAUGACAACAUAUAGAUCAAAGCUUCAAAAAAGAUAUAAUCAAUUAUUAGAAUCGAUGCUUUGAGAGGUAUGUAAAAAGCAAGAGCUCCCCCUAAAUUUGUGCAUUAUUUUAAAUUUGCGUUUGAAUGCAAAUGCACAAUCGAUUAGGAUUAUGGGUUACUCUUCCAUGUCACAUACAACUCGGUGGUGCGCAUAAAUGAUAAGAAUGAAUAAGAAUACACAUAGCACCAACAAACAAGUCAAUGAUCAUGAUGUAGAUAACUCAAAGGUAAAAACGUGGUAGCAUCAAACAAUCAAAGCAUAUGAUCAAACACACAUCUAAACUGAUAAUGUCAUCCAAAAGAUAAAAACUUGUUUUGAAAACCAAACGAGAGCAAAUAAAGUCAAAUUCUCUCCCUCUCUCGAAUCCCUGUGAUCUAUACACUUCUCCCCCUUUGGCAACAAGUACAAAAAAGUUCAAAGGUCUAAACUAAGCAUCUCUCUAGGCACAAUCUCCUCCGGUAGCAGAAGUUGGAGUAGACAAGGGAGCAUCGACGAAGGCUUCAACAAAUGUCGCUGGAGAAGGAGCUCGAGGAGUAGAUACUGGAGGUGCAGGACCAGGAGCUGAGGCUUGAGUUGAUGAAGACAGUAUUUCUUCUAGUACUGGCACAACUGCUGACCUGGUCUGGGUCGUGAACCGUGUGGUAGUGCGAAGAGGUGAAUCAUUACCAUCAUUUUCAUCAUCAUCUGAGCGUGGAAUCUUCACUGAGUCAACUUCAUGUUGAAGCUGCUCAACAGUGGUGGUCAACUCCGUUACCUUCACAUCCAGGUCAUGGAAUUUUGGUCGAUCCUCUAUAAACUCUUCUUGUUCAGCAAGAUCUCUGAAAUAUUAUUCUCCAUCCCUUGGAUGGUGCUGACCAAGAAAUACAUAUGUUCAUCUCUAGUUUUGAGCUGGGGUGGUGGAGCUGGCGCAUUCCUAGCAUCCUUUGCAGUUGCUGCCUUUGCAACCUCUCUAGCUAUAGCUGAGAUGGGAUGAGUGUCAUCCAUCACAACUAUAUUGUUCUCAUACUCUGGCUGAAGCGACAAAUGCGGACGAUCAAGCUGAUAUGCAUGCUUGCCAAUCCUGGCAUUGAUGAGCAUGUGAAUGUAUGGUGCAUAUCCACAUGAUCUCUUCUGGUCUGGAGAAGUUCUCCUGACAGUCUCAGUAAUCAAACCCAUGAUUUUCAACUCAGUGUGGGUGUCUAGAUGAUGCAUCAUAUUGAAGGAAUAGACUCUAAUCAUUUUGUCAUCACCUGAUUUGGGCAUCAUGGUAUGCCUCAAGAUAGUAUUGGUACUGCUUGCAAGAAAUAGACAGAGCCAAGCUUGUGAGACGGCAGAUAGUCAUUGGGCACUGGAUUGUACAUAUUGGCCAUGGAGUUGUGAUUCUUCUUAGGUUUUAAAUACGCAUCCAAGUCCUUGCCUCAUGACUUUGGAGCACCAAUUAUAGUACCCAUUCUUCAAUUGUGGCUUCAUUUCUAUGACCAUCAAUCAUCCAUACAUUUGUGCCAUCUGCAUAGAAAUGAACUGUUGAGUAGAAUUAAAUAAUCAUCUCAUCAUUCCAUGCAAUCAUUUCUCUCCCAACAAACUCUUCAAUGUCAGCAAGAUUGAAGUGUUUUUUCACAUGGGGAAAGAAAUCAUUAUUGUCUUUGAUGUAUUCCUAGUCGAUAUAUCUCAUGUAACUGACUACUCGACUCUUGUCAAACGGGACUGUCUCAUAGAAGUCUUUUUGUUCCCUUGUGUGAAACCAAGGAUCAACAACAGUUCUUCUCCUCACAGCAUAUGGAUCAAUAGUUCUCCACUUCCUCAACCCUGCAUCUCUUCUCUUCUUCAUGUCUUCAACAAUUGGGUGAGACUCAUUGUGAAGUGGCAAACGAGGUCUUAGCUUCAUGAGAAUAGGUGCAUUCUCAUCUUUUUCCUCUACAACAAAGGCUCUAGAAGCAGUGCCUUUCUCUUUAGCAGCUCCAGGUAUGUCAUUUGUACUCCUCUUGGGAGCUACAGUCUUCUUAGGAGCUGAAGGCUUUGGAGCUGAAGGCUUCAUAGCAUCUGCCAUAAGCUUCUUCUUCUUUGCAGGAGGGGCCUUAGCUGGUAUUUCUUCUUCCUCUUCCUCAGCAGCCGCAACAAUUUCUGUUGGAUCUUCAUAUAUGGAGGUUUGUCUACCAAUGACAUGAAUAGUUCUCUUCCUGGCUCUCUUCACACCCGGCUUCUUGGAAGAGGUAUCCUCAAGGGUGAUUUUCAUCCCUUUCUAAGCAGCCACAAGAGCUCUCAAAUCAGCAGGUCUGGCAUACUCCUUCCUCAUAGUCUCCUUGACUGUAGCCUUCUCUUUCUGCUUCCGGGGAACAGGAACUUCGGGAACAAAAUCAGAAUCUUCUUCAUCAAAAUUCAACUUCUUCCUGGACCUGGUAGCUGCCUUGGACAAGCCAUGGGAGCUGGGGGUACCUGGAUCAUAAGGGUUCCUCUUAGGACUAGUGCCUGAAUCUGACUCAGCAUGGGGCUCACGGAAGUUGUUCUCACUGUCCUCAUAACCUGACAUCUUGCAAUCCAAGCUGACAAACUAACACACAGACUGGUUGACCGUGUGAAAGGAUAUGGAGGAGCUUGAAAAUAUAAGCAUCAUACAAUUACAGAAGUUUUUCUUUAUUUUGAACAAAGAAAUCCUUAGUUUUAUCUUUCUGCAAAAUAAAUUUGGGUAGCACCGGGUCUGAACUUUGGUUUCUGUGAGAGAAAUGAUCUUCUUCACAAAAACCUAGAAAUCACUUCGGUGAAACCGAAAGUGACCAAUCUGUCUCACCGAGACCAUUCUCAGGAAACCUAGAAACAAGAUUGGUGGAACUUAUUUUUGCAACUCGGUGGCAUCGAGAUGCAUUCUACGGAUGGCUCACCCUAAGUAUUUUUCGUUCGCUGGUCUACUGGAACUUCUGGUGGAGUAAGAGGUUUGCACACGGAGGCUUAUAGACAAAAAUUUCUAAUGUGUAAGAAUUAGAUAAGAAAGCGCAAAAGAAGAUCGGAACCUUACCCUAACUUGGUGGCGGUCCGACUACGACGACGACGGCGGUGACGAUUUCCGUACAAUAAGGAUCCCAGUGGCGAAGAUGCAUGGGGAAGCAAGGCGAUUACCAAGGGGUCCAGGUGCGGCAGUUUGGGGUUGGGGAGCAUGGCGUUUGAAGAUUGGAUUUCAAAACGUUAGGUCCAUGGUGUAAGUACCCCUCACUAUCAGUGUUAUGGAUACUAAAAUUUCGGUGCUACCGAGUUCCAAUGUGGUCUGUUGACAGACAAACUCGGUGAAGCCGAGAUCAUGGUAUCGGUGGUACCGAGAUUAAGACCUAGAUCAACUUUGAGAAUCGGUGGAACCGAGAAUUUGGGAUUGGUUACACCGAGAUUCACAACGAGGUUUUGGAAAGCAGCCCUUGUCGACAUAGAACUCUGAGUGCUCCUCACACAGAGGGAUCAAGAAAUGCUUGUCAAGUUUUGUGAUGUAGCAUGAAUAGAACUUGAGACGAGAAAUCAUAGUCAACUAGAGAAGGGUCAUAUGCAUUCUUUUCCAUCCAAUUGGCAAAAUAUAAAUCAAAAGGCGAAUAGCAACAAUUGGAUGUCCUCGAAUGGAAAAGAUAUGCACACCAACAUGCUCACACAAUAAUAUGUCAAAUGAAAUCUUGGUGAACAUGCACAAACAUCCAAGCAUCUAUGAAGGACUUUGGAGAUGACGAAGUCAUCUAUAUAUGAGUAUAUUGACUUAGGAUUCAAGUAAGAAUACUUGAUCAUAGGUCAUACUCAUCGAUUAAGAACAAUCGGGUUACCACUUUUACAUAAUGCAUUGAUGUGUUCACAUCAUUUAGGAGACGCUUUUACUCAAGUCUUAGAGUAAAGCUCCCCCUAUAUGCGACAUCCCCCCUAAGAGGGAUCAACUAACCUUGGGUUUUGUCGUAGAAGACUUCAAGUAGGUGAAGUGGUGAUGGAUGCUUAUGGUUGAUGAAGUUCAUCUUGAGUUGGGAGCAAUCCUUGUUGUUUCUUACUCUUCUCACCUACAUGGGUUAGUCCCAAAGCAAAAGGAACAAAUGCAAGGAUAUAUAUGGACAUAGAGUGAAAUACAUGGGAGGUAAUGUCCAAAGAUGCAUUAAUUAACUUGUCCCUUUCUCACCUUUGAGGGAAUGUAUGACUCUUUGAACUAAUGCAUAUGGUUGAGGUUGAUUGCAUAUAGUUAUUUCCAAAAAUGAAUAAGAGUGAAUUUCAUGGUGGAGUCACCCCUCAAGAACAUUCUAGUUCUUCCUCUUGGGGAGCCACAUCAACUUGAUGGGAAUCCUUGGAUUUUUGGUAGCACUAGAUGAGGCAGUACUAGAAGUGUCCUUGGGAACCCACUUAACCUUGGCUUGGGGUUCUUCUUGAAACGAGUCAAUGUCCUCUUGAAGCUUUCCCUUACCAUUGUGGUCUUGUGGUAGAAGGCCAACUUGUGAGCUUGUUCCCUUGGGAGGAGUAGGAUCAUACUUCUCUUCUUAAGUAAGAAACUUGGGAAUGGCAUAUGGACCUUCUUCCAAAACAUCUCCAUUGACAUUGAAGUAUCCAACACCUUGCUUCUUCUGAUGUCCUCCUUGCUUGCGCAUAAUUUCCUCAAAUUGCUUACUUCCGGCAAGACUCUUGAAGACUCCUCUAUCUAUAAUCACUUUCAAUAAAUUGUUUUCUUGCUCAAGUGUAACUUGGCUAAGAGAAUCAUUAGUGGAAUCAAGAGAGCUACUAGCAACAACAUCAUUUGAUUUAGCUUUAGCAUUGUUGUUACUAGAUGAAGAAACUUUCUUGCCUUUGUUACUAGUGUUCUUAGGUUUAACUUGUGGAACAAAAGUAGAUAAGAGUAAUCGUUUGGCUAGAUAAGAGGAACCCUUCUUUCUAAGAUCAUCAUUGAUUGCUUUUACGAACUCAUGCUCUUGCUCUAAAUUUAGCUCCUCGAAGCAUAGCUUCUCAUGAGUUCUUGCAAGCUCUCUUUGAUCUUCUAGAGUAGUUUCAUGAGCUAACUUAAGAGAGUUAAAUUCUUUAGUUAGUCGUUCAAUUUCUUUCUUAUAACCAGCAUUCAAUUUAUCUUGACUAGCAUUAUAAUUAGCAAGUUCAUUUUCAAUGUUGUCGCUAGUAUUAUCAAAGAGCAAGUCAUCUUCCCCUAACAAGUGUAAUGCCGACAACACCUUCAUAUUGAUUGUAGUCAGAGUUGGAGUGAUAACUUCUCUCGGAGUGGUUGUCGGACUCAAAGCCAGGAACCCAUUCACCAACAUGAGAUUGAUGUCUUUUUCUUGAACUGCUCUUGGUGUACUUGUCCUUCUUAUCCGAUUCUCUACCACUCCGGGAGUGUCUUCGUUCAUAAUGAUCUUGUCUACUCCUUCUCUAUUUGCAAGGAGACUCAUCUCUUGAGCUUUGUCUUCUAGCUGACUCUUCUCUUCAUUUGUGGGGAUCCGAGUGCUAACGGCAGUCCCCGACAACGACACUAGAAGAAUGUUGUUGACGAGUCCCUGGCUUGAUGCCUUCGCGACAACAGAGCCAGAACUGCUCCCAGUUGCUCAACAAUUAGCAAUUGUCUUGCAAUGGCCUACCAGUGCGUGGGUUCGCGGCAGUUUUCGAGGGUAGAGUAUUUGACCCAAAUUUGUUGAUUCGCCAGGCAGGAGGUGAGAGGAUACUCUCGAGUAUUAGCAGCUGAAUGUAUCAAAUUCAACCACACCUGAAAGAUUAGUAUCUGCAAGCGAAGUAUCAGGAACAAAGUAGUAUGAUAACAACGGUGUCAGAAACGAUCUGUUGACGGCAGACUAUUCCUAACUGUUGUAUCAAUGGCACCAGAAGUUGCCCGUUGACGGGAAAUAUUCUUCCCCGUCAACGCCGUGCGAACAAAAAUUGUAGCAGGUAGCAGCAGUGUAACGAGUAACAGCAGUAGCAAGGAACAGCACAACAAAACAAGUAACACCAUUAACAACCGUAGUGGGACAAACUCGUAGGCAAUGGGUCGGUGGUUCGUUUGGAUGAUAUUCAUCAUGCAACAGUGAUAACACAGAGAGAUAUGUGGCUAGCUCCCGUUCGUCAAUGUGAUGUAGGCAUGCAUUGCUUGUGUAGUCAUACGUUCUUAGGGAAAAGAACUUGCAUGACAUCUAUUGUCCAUCCUUCCCGUGGCAGCAGGGUCUAAAAGGAUACUACAGGAUAUUAAGGUUCUCCUUUUAAUAAAGAACCGGAACAACGCAUUAGCACUUGGUGAACAGAUGAACUCCUCAAACUAUGGUCAUCACUAGGAGUGGUUUCGGUUAUUAUCACUCCGGGGUUGCCGGGUCAUAACACAUAGUAGGUAACUACAACUUGCAAGAUCGGAUCUAAAACACACAUAUAUUGGUGACAGCAUAAUAAUUUCAGAUCUGAAAUCAUGGCACUCGAGCCCUAGUGACAAUCAUUAAGCAUGGAAAAGUAGUUGCAACAUCAAUCUCAGAAUAUAGUGGAUACUAGGGACCAAUCCCCGUCAAAACUAACUCAAUUACAUGAUAGAUCUCAUCCUACUCAUCACCGCCUAGCGAGCCUACGAAUAGAUUACUCACGAACGAUGAAGCGCUUCAUGGAAUUGGAGAGGGAAGAAGGUUGAUGAUGACGAUGGCGACGAUUUCCCCUCUCCGUAGCCCAAAACGGACUCCAGAUAUGUCCUCCAGAUGAAGACCAGGAUGUGGCGGCGCCUCCGUAUCGCAAACGUGACAAAAUCUUCUCUUCUGAUUUUUUUCUGGGCGAAAGUGAAUUUAUAGAGCUGAGUUUGGGGGCGGCAGAGCCACGUGGGCCCCACAAGCUUGGUUGCCGCGGCCAUGGGGUGGCCGCGCAACGGGGCUUGUGGCCCACUCGCCCAGCCCCUCCGGUGGAUCUUUGCACAGGUAUUUUUCAUAUUUUCUUGAAAAAUUCUUCGUAAAUUUUCAGGACGUUUCGAGAACUUUCAUUUGUGCACAAAAACAACACCAUGGCAAUUCUGCUGAAAACAGCGUCAGUCCGGGUUAGUUCCAAUCAAAUCAUGCAAAUUAGAGUCCAAAACAAGGGCAAAAGAGUUUGGAAAAGUAGAUACGAUGGAGACAUAUCAACUCCCUCAAGCUUAAAACCUUGCUUGUCCUCAAGCAACUCAGUUGAAAAACUGAAAGAGAAAGAAAAACUUUGACAAACUCUGUUUGAUCUUGUUGUUGCAACUAUGUCUAACUCGUAACCAGAAUUUCAGCAAGAUCACAAGUUAACCACAUAAGCAAGUGACACAAAGGUCUCAAGGUAAACUAAUAUCAAUGGCAUAAUCAGCUAGCGAGCAAAUAAUAAUGAGUUUCAGAUACCAACAACUCAAUAAAAACAAGCAUGAAGCAAUGUGAAUAGUUGGUAUCUCGCUAGCUCUUUCUGAGACCGCAAAACAUAAAUGCAGAGCACUUUCAAAGAUCAAGGGCUGACUAAACAUUGUAAUUCAUAGCAACGAAGAUCCAGUCAUAGUCAUACUCAAUAUCAAUCAAAAGCAAAGCAUAAAAAUGACAGAGGUGCUCUCUAAUUGGUGCUUAUAUAAGAAGAGGAUGACUCAACAGGAAAAUAAAUAGACAUGCCCUUCGCAGAGGGAAGCAUUGAUUUGCAGAGGUGCCAGAGCUCAAGCUUUGAAAACAGAGAUAAUAAUUUUGGGUGGCAUGCUUUCAUUUUCAACGCAAGGACCAAGAUUUCUCAAUAUCUUCCACUCUACUCAUGCUAUAGGCGGUUCCCAAAGAGAAAAGUAAAGUUUUAACUCCCCCCCACCAAUCAAUCACACUCCACGGCUAACCGAAUCCUCGGGUACCGUCCAUACUAACAUCAAUCCGGGGGGAGUCUUGUUUUACAGUUAUGUUUUCGAUUUAAGCAUGGAACUGGGCAUUCCAAUUACCGGCCCCUUUCUCGUGAAUGACAAUGAAUAAACACAUGUCGAGGAUAACACACCUAACAUGGAAGAUACAAAUAGCCCCCUGUCACCACAUGAGCAGUUCGGGCAUGCAAAACAGAUUAUUUCUUGAAGGUUUAGAGAAUGGCACAUGCAAAUUUACUUGGAACGGCAGGUAAAUACCACAAAUAGGUAGGUAUGGUGGACUCCCAUGGAAAAACUUUUGGGUUUAUGGAAGUGGAUGCAUAAGCAGUAUUCCGCUUAGUACAAGUGAAGGCUAGCAAAAGACUGGGAAGCGACCAACUAGAGAGCGACAACAGUAAUCAACAUGCAAUGAGUUUGACUAUCAUGGAGUGCAAGCAUGAACAGGAUAUAAAUCACCAUGAACAUGAACAUCAUAGAGGCUAUGUUGAUUUUGUUUCAACUACAUGCAUGAACAUGCGCCAAGUCAAGCCACUUGAAUCAUUCAAAGGAGAAUACCAUCCUAUCAUACUACAUCAUAAUCAUCUCAAAAUCUAUGUUGGCAUUCAAGACAAACCAUUAUAAGCUCCUAGCUAAAUAAGCAUGGCAUCAGAAACUAUGAUCUCUAAGUUGUCAUUGCAAACACGGUUCUCUCACAACAAAGCUGAAUCUGGGACAACAAGCUAGUCAUAUUUACAAAAACAAAAUAGAUAGAGUUCAUACCAGCUUUUCCAGUCUCAGUCACUUCAUCAUAUAUCAUCAUUAUUGCCUUUCACUUGCACGAUCGAACGAUGUGAACAAUAAUAAGAGUGCUCGUGCAUUGGACUAAGCUGAAUCUGCAGGCAAACACAAAGGAGAAAGCAAAGUAAUAUGGAUCUUUGAAAGCUAAACAUGUAUGCAUGCAAGAGCCACUAAACAUUGUAACCAAUUUCUUAUACCUUGACCCAAAGAAAAAUAAAACUAUUUACACGGGAAAGCUCCCAACAAGGAAAAAGAAGAAAUGAAAAUCUUUUUCGGUUUUCUCAAAAGGACAAAAAACAGGAAAACAAGAAAACGAAAAUAAACUAGCAUGGAUAAUACAGUGGCAAAGUGUAAACACCGACGAACAAAGUGAAAGCGUAAGCAUGAAUGUAAAGUUGGUGCAAACACAUACUCCCCCAAGCUUAAGCUUUUGGCCUAGCCUGAUCUACUCCCAAGGACGGUCCUGGCGAAACCCAAAAUCAUAAUCGGGGUUAUAUGAGAGUGCUGCAGCCACAGCCUGAAUAGCUGCCUCACAAAGACGAGCAGUCGUCGCCUCCCUCUCGUACUCCUCUACCUCUCCUAUGGUUAUGUAGUAUCUCCGUUUAACCUGAAAGUCAAAGAAAGCAGGAGCAGGAAGGGUAAUAUGGAAAACACGCUGCCGGUUAAAUAUCAAUCGGUAUAGGAGGGAUUCAUCAUCCCUCUCAAGAAACUAGUAGCGUGUCAAAACGACGCAGUCAAGGAAAGAUGUAUCGAGCAGGGGAUCUCCUGCGAGGAUGGGUACUCCAAGAAAAUUUGCUAUGCGAGUGGCAUAGAUGCCGCCAAAGAAAUCUCCCUCAAUAGCGUUCUUAUUUAGCCUCCUUGCUAUAAUAGCUCCCAUGUUGAAGCUUUUCUCACCCGUAACUGUGCUCUUAAGGAUACUAAGGUCGGAUGCGCAUAGGUGACAAUGUUCAACCUUACCGUUAAUGCAUCUACCUAUGAAGAGGGCGAAGUAGUGCAAGGCAGGGAAAUGAAUGCUUCCUAUGGUAGCUUGCGUGAUGUCUCUAGUUUCUCCAAUAGAUAUACUAGAGAAAAAUCUCUAACCGGAGAUUUAGCACGAUCUUUAAGAUGACCCCCAUCGGGUAUUUUGCAAAUCCUAUUGAAAUCCUUAUAAAUCCAUGGCAUAGGAUUUAUCAUACAAAUCAAACAGCAUGGAUGAGUCACGGCCAACUGAAAAUUUAAAUCUACGCACGAAAGAGGCAGUGAGCAUAGCAUACUGUCCACAUUUAUCUGAGAGGAAUUCUUCUAACCCGGCAUUGCGGACAAGCGUAUCAAAAUCAUCCUUGAAGUCUCUUUCGAUCAUGAACUCAUCGGAAGGCCAUUCACAUGGUUGUACCGGUGCGUCCCUUAGUUGAUAAGGAUCGGGCUCCUGAAUAGAAAGACGGGACCCUUCUUACUUGAGGAACCACCAUGAAACUUCCUCCUGAACAUAAUUCCUUUUGCUGAAAUUUUUGAAGUUCAAGAGAAAAGUGAAUAAAGACCAACCACACCUUGUAGCAACUACUCAUACUAGUGCCUAGAGACCGUAUCACGCGCUAAAACUACUUGGGACCAGCUAAAAUCAACAUUUCAAGCUCAAGAACAGGGUCACCAAGGUAGCAAGAAUACGCGAAGGACAAAGCACUAGAGCAAAAACGAAUUGGACCAAUGGAGGAGUCACUUACCAAGGAGCAAUUUCCCCAAAACGGUUCGGAGAAUGAUGCUUCGAGCAAGGAGAUCGAAAAUCACAGCCAAAUGAGCAAGAACACGGUUUUGAGCUGUGAAACAUUUUUUUCUAGAGGAAGAAGAAGAGGAUGGGAGUUGGAAUGAGUGGAGGGGGCCCCUGUGGGCCCCACAAGCUUGCUUGCCGCGGCCAGGGGGUGGCCGCGGUGACAGGGCUUGUGGCCCACUGGGGUGGCCCCCAAGCCAGCUCUCUGUCCUAGUAUUUUUCAAAUAUUCCAGAAAAAAUCAUACUAGAUUUUCAGGACCAUCGGAGAACUUUUAUUUUCGGGGUAUGUUUCUCCGGGACUCUAAAACAGAAGACAUGAAAAACUAAACUAAACCUAUCAUUUUUCUUCUAAGCAAAAGAAAGUGAAAGCUUAAAACAGAGGUAUGUGACUCUCUGAUUCAUCCAUUUCAUGGUCACCGAAAGAAAUCCGUCAAUGGGGUUGAUCAAAUCCUUAUGACAAAACUUUCUCAAAUUGCAAAAGAGAAUGGAGAAUUUUCGAAUAGCCACUAAGUUACCUCAAUGGGGAUAUGUAUCUCCCCAACAAGCAAAUCAUACUUCAUCUUGACACGAGGAAUAGGGCAUUCAAAGCUCCCAAUGAGAAUCGAUGAAGUUUUUUCGAUAGCAUUGAUGCAAUGUACUUGAUAUUGUUUCUUCGGAAAGUGGACGGUAUGCUCAUUAACGUGAACAUGGAAAGUGACAUUGCCUUUGUUGCAAUCUAUAACAGCCCCUGCAGUGUUUAAAAAGGGUCUUCCGAGGAUGACAGCCAUGACAUCAUCCUCGGGAAUAUCCAAGAUAACAAAGUCUGUUAAGAUAGUGGUGUUAGCAACCACAAGAGGGACAUCCUCGCAAAUGCCAACAGGGAAAGCAGUUGAUUUGUCGGUCAUUUGUAGAGAGAUUUCAGUAGGUGUCAACUUAUCCAGUUCAAGUCUACGAUAAAGAGAGAGAGGCAUAACACUAACUCCGGCUCCGAGGUCAAAAUAAGGCAGUUCUUACGUAAUUUCCUUUAAUGGAGCAAGGUAUAGUGGGCACUCCAGGAUCACCAAGUUUCUUAGGAGUUCCACCUUUGAAAGUGUAAUUGGCAAGCAUGGUGGAGAUCUCAAGAUCUGGGAUCUUCCGUUUAUUGGUCACGAUAUCUUUCAUAUACUUGGCAUACGGAGACAUUUUGAGCAUAUCAACUAACCCCAUCUGUAGAAAGACGGGUCUUAUCAUUUCAAUAAAGCGCUCAAAAUCCUCAUCAUCCUUUUUCUUGGAUGGCUUAGGAGGAAAGGGCAUAGGUCUCUGAACCCAUGGCUUCCUUUCUUUACCGUGCUUCCUAGCAGUGAAGUCAUUCUUAUCGUAUCUCUUAGGUAGUGGGUUAUCAGGAUUAACCGUAGGUUCAAUCUCCACAUCCUCAUCAUUGUUAGGUUGAGCAUCAUUAUGAACAUCGCUGUCCAUAUUGUCACCAGGUUCAUGUUCAUCACCAGAUUGUGUUUCUGCAUCAGACGCAGAAAUAUCAUUUGGUUCUUCAGGUGUGACAGUACUUGGUGAACUAACAUGCAGGUUUCUAUCAUCCUUCUUCUUCUCCUUAGGAUGACUGGGUGCAUCUGCAUUAAUUCCUUGAGAAUCUUGAUCAAUUCUCUUAGGAUGACCUUCAGGAUACAAAGGUUCCUGAGUCAUUUUGCCUCCUCUAGUAAUGACUCUGACAGAGUUGUCAUUUAAUUCAUUGAGCAGGUCAUUCUGAGCUUUAAGUACUUGUUCUACCUGAGUAGUAAUCAUAGAGGCAUGUUUACUCAGAAGCUUCAGAUCAUUGACAUUUAUAUCUACACAAGCACUUAAAUGACUAAGCAUACAAGUACUUUGUUCCAAAUGUCUGCUAACAUAAUCAUUGAAACUCUGUUGUUUGGCAACAAAGUUAUCAAAUUCAUCAAAGCAUAGGCUAGCAGGUUUAGCAAAAGGAAUAUCACUCUCAUCAAACCUACGCAGAGAAUUUACUUCCACUACCUGUAUCGGGUUAUCGAGACCAUGGAUCUCUUCGAUAGGUGGUAGAUUUUUGACAUCUUCAGAUCUAAUGCCUUUCUCUUGCAUGGAUUUCUUGGCUUCUUGCAUAUCUUCGGGACUGAGGAAUAGGAUACCUCUUUUCUUCGGGGUUGGCUUAGGAGGUGGUUCUGGAAUAGUCCAAGCAUUAUUGUUGAUCAAGAUGUUAUUCAGUAGAGUCUCAGCUUGUUCUAUAGUUCGUUCCCUAAAAACACAAUGGGCACAACUAUCUAGGUGGUCCUUAGAGGCAUCGGUAAGUCCGUUAUAGAAGAUAUCAAGUAUCUCGUUCUUCUUAAGAGGGUGAUCAGGCAAAGCAUUUGGUAGCUGGACGAGCCUCCCACAAGCUUGUGGGAGACUCUCUUCUUUAGUUGAGCAAAGUUGUAUAUUUCCUGCAAGGCAGCUUGCUUCUUAUGGGCAGGGAAAUAUUUCUCACAUAAGUAAUAGACCAUGUCCUGGGGACUACUCACACAUCCAGGAGCAAGAGAAGCGAACCAGGCUUUAGCAUCAUCCUUUAGAGAGAAAGGAAACAACUUAAGGAUAUAGUAGUGACGGAUCUUUCCUCACUAGUGAAAAGGGUGGCUAUAUCGUAUAGUUCGUCUCAGACUCAUAACCGUGGAAAGGAUCAGAUUCGACUAGAGAGAUUAUCUCAGAAUCGACAGAGAACUCAUAAUUCUUAUCGGUGAUAAAGAUAGGUGAAGUGGCAAACUUCGGGUCGUAUUUCAUCCUAGCUUUCACAGAUUUUUCCUUCCACUCGAGAAGUAAUUUCUCAACGUCAUAGGCAUCCUUACACGCAAGAAAAUCCUCAGCUAUCUCUCCCUCCAUAACGUAACCCUCGGGUAUAUCAGGCAAUUCAUAUCUAGGAGAGCUAGAUGUAGUAGGAGCAAAAGCAGGUUCUAUCUCAAUAGUAUCGGCAGUUUCAGAAGCAUCACGAGCAUUGGCAGUAACUCUAGCAAUAUGAGCAUCAAGGAAUACUCCUAGUGGCACAUCAGGCAAAGUAGUAUCUCCAGCAGUAUCGAGCAUAGCAUCAUCAGGCAAAAUAGCAUCUCUAGCAUCAUCAGGCAUAGCAUCUCUAGCAGUAUCAGGCAUAGCAUCUCUAGCAGUAUCAGGCAUAGCAUCUCUAGCAGUAUCAGGCAUAGCAUGUGUAGCAAUAUGAAGCAUAGCAUCUCUAGCAGUAUCACGCAUAGUAUCAUCAAGCAUAGUGGCAUCAUAAGCAUCAUCAAGCACAGGCGACAUAUCAAGAUUUCUAGCAGGAGGUGAUGUCGCAAACUUACUCAUAACUGAAGGUGACUCAAUUGCAGAGCUAGAUGGCAGUUCCUUACCUCCCCUCGUAGUUGAGGGCAAGACUUUGGUUUUUGGAUCUUUCAGAUUCUUCAUAGUGAUCAGCAGAUAUAAAUCCCAAGUGACUCAGAGAAUAUAGCAAUACCUCCCCGGCAACGGCGCCAGAAAAAUGCUGCUAACGGCAGUCCCCGACAACGACACUAGAAGAAUGUUGUUGACGAGUCACUUGCUUGAUGUCUUCGCAACAACAGAGCCAGAACUGCUCCCAGUUUCUCAACAGUUAGCAAUUGUCUUGCAAUGGCCCACCAGCGCAUGGGUUCGCGGCAGUUUUCGAGGGUAGAGUAUUCGACCCAAAUUUGUUGAUUCGCCAGGCAGGAGGUGAGAGGAUACUCUCGAAUAUUAGCAGCUGAAUGUAUCAGAUUCAACCAAACCUGAAACAUUAGUAUCUGCAAGCAAAGUAUCAGCAGCAAAGUAGUAUGAUAACAAUGGUGUCAGAAACGAUCUGUUGACGGCAGACUAUUCCUAACUGUUGCAUCAAUGGCGCCAGAAGUUGCCAGUUGAGGGAAAUAUUCUUCCCUGUCAACGCCGUGCGAACAAGAAUUGUAGCAGGUAGCAGCAGUGUAACGAGUAUCAGCAGUAGCAAGGAACAACACAGCAAAACAAGUAAUAGCAGUAACGGCAGUAGUGGGACAAACUCAUAGGCAAUGGGUCGGUGGUUCAUUUGGAUGAUAUUCAUCAUGCAACAGUUAUAACACGGAGAUAUAUGUGGCUAGCUCCCGUUCGUCAAUGUGAUGUAGGCAUGCAUUCCGUGUGUAGUCAUACGAGCUUAGGGAAAAGAACUUACAUGACAUCUAUUGUCCAUCCCUCCCGUGGCAGCGGGGUCCAAAAGGAUACUACAGGAUAUUAAGGUUCUCCUUUUAAUAAAGAACCGGAUCAACGCAUUAGCACUUGGUGAACACAUGAACUCCUCAAACUAUGGUCAUCACCGGGACUGGUUCCGGUUAUUUUCACUCCGGGGUUGCCGGGUCGUAACACGUAGUAGGUAACUACAACUUGCAAGAUCGGAUCUAAAAUACACAUAUAUUGGUGACUAAAUAAUAAUUUCAUAUCUGAAAUCAUGGCACUCGGGCCCCAGUAACAAGCAUUAAGCAUGUCAAAGUAGUAGCAACAUCAAUCUCAGAACAUAGUGGAUACUACGGAUCAAUCCCCGUCAAAACUAACUCGAUUACAUGAUAGAUCUCAUCCUACUCAUCACCGCCCAGCGAGCCUACGAAUAGAUUNNNNNNNNNNNNNNNNNNNNNNNNNNNNNNNNNNNNNNNNNNNNNNNNNNNNNNNNNNNNNNNNNNNNNNNNNNNNNNNNNNNNNNNNNNNNNNNNNNNNNNNNNNNNNNNNNNNNNNNNNNNNNNNNNNNNNNNNNNNNNNNNNNNNNNNNNNNNNNNNNNNNNNNNUACUCACGAACGAUGAAUAGCUUCAUGGAAUUGGAGAGGGAAUAAGGUUAAUGAUGACGAUGGCGGCGAUUUCCCCUCUCCGGAGCCCAAAACGGACUCCAGAUCUGUCCUCCAGAUGAAGAACAGGAUGUGGUGGCGCCUCCGUAUCGCAAACGUGACGAAAUCUUCUCUUCUGAUUUUUUUUUCUGGGCGAAAGUGAAUUUAUAGAGCUGAGUUUGGGGGCGGUAGAGCCACGUGGGCCCCACAAACUUGGUUGUCGCGGCCAGGGGGUGGCCGUGGCAACAGGGCUUGUGGCCCACUGGCCCAGCCCCUCCGGUGGAUCUUUGCGCAGGUAUUUUUCAUAUUUUCCAGAAAAAUUCUCCGUAAAUUUUCAGAACGUUCCGAGAACUUUCAUUUCUGCACAAAAACAACACCAUGGCAAUUCUGCUGAAAACAGCGUCACUCCGGAUUAGUUCCAUUCAAAUCAUGCAAAUUAGAGUCCAAAACAAGGGCAAAAGAGUUUGGAAAAGUAGAUACGAUGGAGAUGUAUCACCGAGCACUCAUUGGAAAAGUGUCCGGGCUUUCCACAUUUGUAGCAAUUUUGGUCACGACUACAUGAAUGCUUCUCAUCAUAUCUUGAGCUUGAGCUUCUCUCUUUGCCUCUACUCUUGUAGAACUUGUUGAACUUUCUGACCAUGGGGCUGAUCUCUUCAUUGGUAACAAGGUUGUCACUUGAAGUAGCGGGAGCAUAGACUGAAGCUUCGUAAGCACUGAUUGACUUGUUGUGCAACUCAUCUUUAUCUUUGAGAGAGAUUUCAUGACAAACAAUCCUUCUAAUGACUUCAGUAGGUUUGAGAUUUUUGUAGUUGGGCAUCAUUUGAAUUAAUGUGCACACGGUGUCGUAUCUUCCAUCCAAAGCUCUAAGUAUCUUCUUGAUGAUGAAUUCGUCGAUCAUCUCUUCACUUCCUAAGCUGACAAUCUCAUCUGUGAUGAGAGCUGGCCUAGAGUACAUCUCCGCAAUUCCUUCACAAUCCUUCAUCUUGAAUUUGUCAAGCUGACUUUGAAGCACAUCCAACUUAGAUUACCCGAUAGAAUCGUUACCUUUGUGCAUAUCAAUCAAAGCAUCCCAAAUUUCCUUUGCAUUCUCAAGGCAACUGAUUUUGUUAAAUUCUUCGGGACACAAGUGGUUGAACAGGAUGUCACAUGCUUGAGCAUUGAAUUACAACAUAUUCAAUUCUUCUGUUGUGGCAUCACGAUCCGGUUCUCUUCCUUAUCCAAAUAAAUCACUUUGCACACCAACACGAACAACAGCCCAAACGGAAGGAUUAUGACCAAGAAUAUGCAUUUUCAUCUUAUGGUUCCAACUAGCAAAAUUAGUGCCAUCGAAUUAUGGACCUCUACGGUCAUAAUUUCCCUCACUAGACGCCAUACUCUCCUAGGUUGUGAAACCAAUGCAAUAGAGACAAAAUCUUCGAUACCACUAGUAGGAUCGAAAGUAUGUCUAGAAGGGGGUGAUUAGACUACUUGACAUGAUAAAAACUUAGCCUUUUCCCAAUUUUUAGUGUGGGCCAAUUCUAGCAUCUAUGACUAGUCAAGUAUACCCUACACAUGCAUAUAUAAGAGUAUAGAACCAGAAAGUAAAACAUGCAAGUGUAAAGUAGAGGGUAAGAUAGGGAGAUCAAACACAAAGGUUGAAACGGCGAUUUUUGGCAUGGUUCCGAUAGGUAUCGUACCUCCAGGUUAAUGGAGACUUCAACCCACAAAAGGUAACAACUGCGAGAGUCCACGAAGGGUCCACCCACAAGGGGUCCAUGAAUAAGAGACAUUGUCUAUUCCACAACGGCUUCCAUCCACAAAGGACUAGCCUCACUCACGGUAGAUCUGUUGGGGAACGUUGCAUGGGAAACAAAAUAUUUCCUACGCACACAAAGACCUAUCAUGGUGAUGUUCAUCUACGAGAGGGAGAUCAGAUCCACAUACCCUUGUAGAUCAGUAAGUGGGAAGCGUUAAGAAACACGGUUGAUGUAGUGGAACAGCUUCGUGAUUCAAAUCACCGUCGUCCCAAGAUCCAUUCUGAUCUAGCGCCAAACGGACGACACCUCCGCGUUCAGCACACGUACAGCUCGAUGACGAUCUCUACCUUCUUGAUCCAGCAAGAGAGACGGGGAAGUAGACGAGUUCUCCGGCAGCGUGACGGCGCGCCGGUGAUGGUGAUGAUAUAUUCCUGGAGGUCUCCGCCCGAGCUCCGCAGAAAACCGAUCUAGAGGAAGAACUACGAAGUAGAAGUUUAGGGUUGCACGUGGAAAAGUUGUGUCUCAAAAACCCUAAAACCUCUAGUAUAUCCAGGAGGAGGGGGGGCUAGCCUUGAGGCUCAAGAGAGACUCAAGGGCACCGGCCAAGAGAGGAGGAGGAGGACUCCAACUCCAAUUCGGUUUGGGAAGGAGGAGUCCCCUCCUUCCUUCCCACCCCCUCUUUUUUUCCUUUGGUUUUUGCCUUCUAGCCGACAUAGCCCACUUGGGCUGGCCUCGCCAGCCCACUAAGGGCUGGUGCGCCACCCUUGGGCUAUUGGGUUCUCUCCCGGGUGGGUGGGCCCCUCGCAGUAAAGAACCAGAACCCAUUCGUCACUCCCGGUACACUGUCGGUAAUGCCUGAAAUCUAUCCGGAGGCCAACUGAAACAAUCCUAUAUAUCCAUCUUCGUUUCUGGACCAUUCUGGAAACCCUCGUGACGUCCGUGAUCUCAUCCGAGACUCCGUACAACCUUUGGUCACCAACACCUAUAACUCAACUUUACCGAAACGUCACCGAACCUUAAGUGUGCACACCCUGCGGGUUCGAGAACUAUGCAGACAUGAGCUGAGACACUCCCCGGUCAAUAUCCAACAGCGGUACGUGGAUGUCUAUAUUGGAUCCUACAUAUUCUACAAAGAUCUUAUCGGUUGAACCUCUGUGCCAAGGAUUCAUAUAAUCCCGUAUACCAUUCCCUUUGUUCUUCGGUAUGUUACUUGCCCGAGAUUUGAUCGUCGGUAUCCCUAUACCUAUUUCAAUCUCGUUACCGGCAAGUCUCUUUAGUUGUUCCAUAAUACAAGAUCCCGUGACUAACACAUUGGCCACAUUGCUUGCAAGGCUUAUAUGUGAUGUUGUAUUACUGAAUGGGCCCUGAGAUACCUCUCCGUCACACGGAGUGACAAAUCCUAGUCUUAAUCAAUGCUAACUCAACGGACACCUUCGGAGAUACUUGUAGAGCACCUUUAUAGUCACCCAGUAAUGUUGCGACAUUUGAUACACACAAGGCAUUCCUCCGGUGUCAGUGAGUUACAUGAUCUCAUGGUCAUAGGAAUGAAUACUUGACACGCAGAAAACAAUAGCAACAAAAUGACACGAUCACAUGCUAAGUUUAUAGUUUGGGUCUUGUCCAUCAUGUCAUUCUCCUAACGAUGUGAUCCAAUCAUCAAGUGACAACACUUGCAUAUGGUCAGAAAACCUUAACCAUCCUUGAUCAACUGGCUAGUCAACUAGAGGCUUACUAGGGACAUUGUUUUGUCUAUAUAUCGACACAUGCAUUUAUGUUUUCAUUCAAAAUAAUUAUAGCAUGGAUAAUAAACGAUUAUCUUGAAACAUGAAAUAUAAUAAUAACUAUUUUAUCAUUGCCUCUAGGACAUAUUUCCAAUAGUCUCCCACUUGCACUAGAGUCAAUAAUCUAGUCUCACAUUGCUAUGCGAUUUACAUUGGAAUGAAUCUAACACCUAUACAGUUCUGGUGUUGAUCAUGCUUCGCUCGUGGAAGAGGUUUAGUCAGCGGAUCUGCAACAUUCAGAUCCAUGUGCACUUUGCAAAUAUUUACGUCCUCUCCUUCGAAAUAGUCGCGGAUGAGGUUGAAGCGUCGUUUGAUGUGUCUGGUCUUCUUGUGAAACAUUGGUUCCUUUGCUAGAGCAAUGGCACCAGUGUUGUCACAUAACAGAGUUAUUGGAUUUAGUGUGCUCGGCACAACUCCAAGAUCCCUCAUGAACUCCUUCAUCCAGACACCCUCCUUAGCUGCCUCCGAGGCAGCCAUGUAAUCCGCUUCACAUGUAGAAUCUGCAACGACGCUUUGCUUGGAACUGCACCAGGUUACCGCACCCCCAUUAAGAAUAAAUACAUAUCCGCUUUGAGACUUAGAGUCAUCCGGAUCAGUGUCAAAGCUUGCAUUGACGUAACCCUUUACGACGAGCUCUUCGUCACCUCCAUAAACGAGAAACAUUUCCUUAGUCCUUUUCUGGUACUUCAGAAUAUUUUUGACAGCCGUCAAGUGAUCCACUCCUGGAUUACUUUGAAACCUGCCUGCCAUACUUAUGGCCAGGCUGACGUCCGGUCUUGUGCACAACAUUUCAUACAUGAUAGACCCUAUGGCUGAAGCAUAGGGGACGGUACUCAUCUUUUCUCUAUCUUCCGCAAUUACUGGACACUGAGUCUUACUCAACUUUAUACCUUGUAACAAUGGCAAGAACCCCUUUUUGGACUGCUCCAUUUUGAAGUUCUUCAAAACUUUAUCAAGGUAUGUGCUUUGUGAAAGUCCUAUUAGGCGCCUCGAUCUAUCCCUAUAGAUCUUAAGGCCUAAUAUGUAAGCAGCUUCUCCUAGGUCUUUCAUUGAAAAACAUUUGUUCAAGUAAUCCUUUACGCUCUCCAAAAACUCCACAUUGUUUCCAAUCAGCAAUAUGUCAUCCACAUAUAAUAUUAGAAACGCUACACAGCUCCCACUCACUUUCUUGUAAAUACAAGAUUCUCCAACAACUUGUAUAAACCCAAAUGCCUUGAUCACCUCAUCAAAGCACUCAUUCCAACUCCGAGAUGCUUGCACCAGUCCAUAAAUGGAUCACUGGAGCUUGCAUACUUUGUUAGCAUUCUUUGGAUCGACAAAACCUUCAGGUUGCAUCAUAUACAACUCUUCCAUAAGAAAACCAUUAAGGAACACCGUUUUGACAUCCAUCUGCCAGAUUUCAUAAUCGAAAAAUGCAGCUAUUGCUAACAUGAUUCGGACGGACCUAAGCAUCGCUACCGGUGAGAAUGUCUCAUCAUCGUCAACUCCUUGAACUUGUGAAAAACCCUUUGCCACAAGUCGAGCUUUAUAAACGGUCACAUUAUCGUCCAAGUCCGUCUUCUUCUUAAAGAUCCGUUUGUUCUGAAUAGCCUUGCGACCUCCAGGUAAUACUUCCAAAGUCCACACUUUGUUUCCAUACAUAGAUCCUAUCUCGGACUUCAUGGCCACUAAAAAUUUGCUGGAAUCUGGUCCCACCAUUGCUUCUUCAUAAUUCGCAGGCUCCUUGUUGUCUAACAACAUGAUAGACAAGACAGGAUUCCGUACCACUCAAGAGUAGUACGUGAUCUUGUCGACCUGCGAGGUCCGAUAGCAACUUGAUCUGAAGCCUCAUGAUCAUCAUAGUUAGCUUCCUCCUCAACUGGUGUUGCCUCGAUAGAGAUUUCUCUCUGCCCUGCGCCACCAUCCUGUUGGAGCAGAGGUUCCACAACCUCAUCAAGUUCUAUAUUCCUCCCACUCAAUUCUUUCGAGAGAAACUACUUCUCAAGAAAAGCUCCAUUUUUAGCAACAAACACUUUGCCCUCGGAUCUGAGAUAGAAGGUGUACCCAACUGUCUCCUUUGGGUAACCCACGAAGACACACUUUUCCGCUUUGGGUUCCAGCUUUUCAGGCUGAAGCUUUUGGACAUAAGCAUCACAUCCCCAAACUUUAAGAAACAACAACUUUGGCCUCUUGCCAUACCAUAGCUCAUAUGGUGUCGUCUCAACGGAUUUUGAUGGCGCCCUAUUUAAAGUGAAUGCAGUUGUCUCUAAUGCAUAACCCCACAACAAUAAUGGCAAAUCGGUAAGAGACAUCAUAGAUCGUACCAUAUCUAACAAAGUACGAUUACGACGUUUGGACACACCAUUGCGCCGUGGUGUUCCAGGCGGUGUCAACUGUGAAACGGUUCAACAUUGUCUUAAGUGAGAACCAAACACGAAACUCGGAUAUUCGCCCCCUCGAUCAGAUCGUAGGAACUUGAUCUUCUUGUUACGAUGAUUUUCAACUUCACUCUGAAAUUGCUUGAACUUUUCAAAUGUUUCAUACUUGUGCUUCAUCAAGUAGAUAUAUCCAUACCUACUCAAAUCAUUAGUGAAGGUGAGAAAAUAACGAUAUCCGUCGCGCGCCUCCACACUCAUUGGACCGCACACAUCAGUAUGUAUGAUCUCCAACAAGUCACUUGCACGCUCCAUUGUUCUGGAGAACAGAGUCUUAGUCAUCUUGCCCAUGAGUGAUGGUUCGCACGUGUCAAGUGAUUCGAAAUCAAGUGACUCCAAAAGCCCAUCAGCAUGGAGUUUCUUCAUGCGCUUUACACCAACAUGACCUAAGCGGCAGUGCCAAAAAAAGGUGGCACUAUCAUUGUUAACUCUACAUCUUUUGGUCUCAAUGUUAUGUAUAUGUGUGUCAUCACAAUCAAGAUUCAAUAUUAACAAACCCCUCACAUUGGGUGCAUGACCAUAAAAGAUAUUACUCAUAAAAAUAGAACAACCAUUAUUCUCUGACUUAAAUGAGUAACCGUCUCGCAAUAAACAAGAUCCAGAUAUGAUGUUCAUGCUUAACGCAUGCACUAAAUAACAAUUAUUUAAGGUCAUAACUAAUCCUGAUGGUAACUGAAGUGAGACUAUGCCGACGGCGAUUGCAUCAACCUUGGAACCAUUUCCCAUGCGCAUCGUCACUUCAUCCUUCGCCAGCCUUCGUUUAUUCCACAAUUCCUGCUUCAAGUUGCAAAUAUGAGCAACAGAACCGGUAUCAAAUACCCAGGAACUACUACGAGAGUUGUUUAAGUACACAUCAAUAACAUGUAUCACAUAUACCUGGUUUGGCGUUGGCCGCCUUCUUAUCAGCCAAAUACUUGGGGCAGUUGGGCUUCCAGUGACCCAUCCCCUUGCAAUAAUAGCACUCUGUUUCCGGCUUACGUCUAGUGUACGGUUUCUUCGUCGGAUUGGCAACAGUUUUGCCGCUCUUCUUGGAGUUACCCUUCUUGCCUAUGUCGUUUCUCUUGAAACCAGUGGUCUUAUUGACCAUCAACACCUGAUGUUCUUUCCGGAGUUCUGACUCUGCGACUUUCAGCAUCGCGAAUAACUCGUCAGGUGACUUGUUCAUCCCUUGCAUGUUAUAGUUCAACACAAAGCUCUUGUAGCUAGGUGGCAGUGAUUGAAGAAUUAUGUCAGUGAUAGCCUCUUGCGGAAGUUCAACUCCCACCUCAGCUAGACGGUUUGAGUACCCAAACAUUUUGAGCACAUGUUCACUGACAUACGAAUUCUCCUCCAUUUUGCAAGCAUAGAAUUUAUCAAAGGUCUCAUACCUCUCAAUCUGGGCAUUCUUCUGAAAGAUAAACUUCAACUCCUGGAACAUCUCAUAUGCUCCAUGAUGUUCAAAGCAUCAUUGAAGUCCCGGUUUUAAGCCAUACAAGGCUGCACAUUGAACUACUGAGUAGUCCUCCUUACGUGCUUGCCAAGCAUUCAAAACAUCUUGAUCAGACGUAGCGGGUUGUUCAUCUCCUAGCGCAGGAUCAAGGACAUAAUUCUUUUUCCCAGCUUGUAGGAUGAGCCUAAGAUUACGAGCCCAGUCUACAAAGUUGCUAUCAUCAUCUUUUAGCUUAGCUUUCUCUAGGAACGUAUUGAAAUUCAGGGUUGCUACUACAUGAGCCAUUGAUCUACAACAUAAAAUAUUGCAAAGUGGACUUAGACUAUGUUCAAGACAAUUAAGUUUUAAAUAAUCAAAUUACUAAUAAAACUCCCACUCAAAUAGACAUCCCUCUAGUUACUUGAGUGUGGCAUGAUCCAAAUUCACUAACUCAAGUCCAAUCAUCACAUGAGUUGAGUGUAGUUUCAGUGCUAAACAUCUCUAUGCUAAUCAUAUCGACUAUACGAUUCAUGCUCGACCUUUCAAUCUCUUGUGUUCUGAGUCCAUGUCUGCACAUGCUAGGCUUGUCAAGUUUAACCCGAGUGUUCCGCGUGUGCAACUAUUUUGCACCCGUUGUAUGUGAACGUUGAGUCUAUCACACCCGAUCAUCACGUGGUGUCUUGAAACAACGAACUGUCGCAACGGUGCACAGUCGGGGAGAACACAACUUUAUCUUGAAAUUUUAGAGAGGGGUCACCUUAUAAUGCUACCGUCGUUCUAAGCAAGAUAAGGUGCAUUACAAGGAUUAUCAUCACAUGCAAUUCAUAAGUGACAUGAUAUGGCCAUGAUCUUGAGCUUCUUGAUCUCCAUCACCAAAGCACCGGCAUGAUCUUCAUCGUCACCGGUGCCACACCAUGAUCUCCAUCAUCGUGCCGCCAUCGAGGUUUUCAUGCUAUCUAUGCUAUUACUACUAAAGCUACAACCUAGCAAUAUAGUAAACACAUUUGCAAACACAAACAUUAGUUUAAAGACAACCCUAUGGCUCAUGCUGGUUGUCGUAGCAUCAACGUGCAAGUCGAUAUUUAACUAUUACAACAUGAUCAUCUCAUACAUCCAAUAUAUCACAUCAUGACUUUGGCCAUAUCACAUCACAUGCACACCUUGCAAAAACAAGUUAGACGUCCUUUAAUUUGUCGUUGCAUGUUUUACGUAGCUGCUACGGGUAUCUAGUAUGAUCGCAUCUUACUUACGCAAAACCACAACGGAAAUGUGCAAAAUGCUAUUUAACCUUUCUCCAAGAACCGCCUCGGUCAAAUCCAAUUCAACUAAAGUUGAAGAAAUAGGCACCCGCCAGUCAUCUUUAUGCAACAAGUUGCAUGUUAGUCGAUGAAACAUGUCUCUCGUAAGCAUACGAGUAAUGUUGGUCCGGGCCGCUUCAAUCCAACAAUACUGCCGAAUCGAGAAAAGACUAAGGAGGGCAGCAAAUCGAACAUCAACUCCCACACAAAAAUUUGAGUUUUACUCGAGAUUACAUCUACGCAUGAACAUAGCUCAUGAUGCCACUGUUGGGGAACGUUGCAUGGGAAACAAAAAAAUUCCUACGCACACGAAGACCUAUCAUGGUGAUGUUCAUCUACGAGAGGGAGAUCGGAUCCACAUACCCUUGUAGAUCACAAAGAGGGAAGCGUUAAGAAACGCGGUUGAUGUAGUGGAACAGCUUCGUGAUUCAAAUCAUCGCCGUCCCAAGAUCUAUUCCGAUCUAGCGCCGAACGGACGACAGCUCUACAUUCAGCACACGUACAGCUCGAUGACGAUCUCCGCCUUCUUGAUCCACCAAGAGAGACGGGGAAGUAGAUGAGUUCUCCGGCAGCGUGAUGGUGCGCCGCUGAUGGUGAUGAUCUAUUCCUGCAGGGCUCCGCCCGAGCUCUGCAGAAAACCGAUCUAGAGGAAGAACUACGAAGUAGAGGUUUAGGGUUGCACGUGGCAAAGUUGUGUCUGAAAAACCCUAAAACCUCUAGUAUAUAUAGGAGGAGGGGAGGGGCAAGACUUGAGGCUCAAGAGAGACUCAAGGGCGCCGGCCAAGAGAGGAGGAGGAGGACUCCAACUCCAAUUCGGUUUAGGGAGGAGGAGUCCCCUCCUUCCUUCCCACCUCCCUCUUUUUUUUCCUUUGAUUUUUUCCUUCUAGCCGAAAUUGCCCACUUGGGUUGGCCUCACCAGCCCACUAAGGGCUGGUGCGCCACCCUUGGGCUAUUGGGUUCUCUCCCGGAUGGGUGGGCCCCUCCCGGUAAAGACCCGGAACCCAUUCGUCACUCCCGGUACACUGUCGGUAAUGCCCGAAAUCUUUCCGGAGGCCAAAUAAAACAAUCCUGUAUAUCAAUCUUCGUUUCUGGACCAUUGUGGAAACCCUCAUGAUGUAUGUGAUCUCAUCCGGGACUCUGAGAAACCUUCGGUCACCAACACCUAUAACUCAACUUUACCGAAACAUCACCGAACCUUAAGUGUGGAGACCCUGUGGGUUCGAGAACUAUGCACACAUGAAAUGGGACACUGCCCGGUCAAUAUCAAAUAUCGGGACCUGAUCUCCAUAUUGGAUCCUACAUAUUCUACGAAGAUCUUAUCGGUUGAACCUAUGUGCCAAUGAUUCAUAUAAUCACGUAUACCAUUCCCUUUGUCCUUCGGUAUGUUACUUGCCCGAGAUUUGAUUGUUGGUAUCCCUAUACCUAUUUCAAUCUCGUUACCGGCAAUUCUCUUUACUCGUUUCGUAAUACAAGAUCCGGUGACUAACACAUUAGCCACAUUGUUUGCAAGGCUUAUAUGUGAUGUUGUAUUACUGAGUGGGCCCCGAGAUACCUCACCGUCACACGGAGUGACAAAUCCCAGUUUUGAUCAAUGCUAACUCAACGGACACCUUCGGAGAUACUUGUAGAGCACCUUUAUUGUCAUCGAGUAACGUCGAUGUUUGAUACACAUAAGGCAUUCCUCCGGUGUCAUUGAGUUACAUGAUCUCAUGGUCAUAGGAAUGGAUACUUGACACGCAGAAAACAAUAGCAACAAAAUGACACGAUAACAUGGUACGUUUAUAGUUUGGGUCUUGUCCAUCACGUCAUUCUCCUAAUGAUGUGAUCCAGUCAUCAAGUGAUAACACUUGCAUAUGGUCAGAAAACCUUAAUCAUCCUUGAUCAACCGGCUAGUCAACUAGAGGCUUACUAGGGACAUUGUUUUGUCUAUAUAUCCACACAUGCAUUUAUGUUAUGAUUCAGUACAAUUAUAGCAUGGAUAAUAAAAGAUUAUCUUGAAACGGGAAAUAUAAUAAUAACUAUUUUAUCAUUGCCUCUAGGGCAUAUUUCCAACAAGAUCUGCAUGAAGUAGGCGAUCUCCUUUCCCUUACAAACACCUUGGUUUAACUCCACAACAUGAAGUAGGAGGCUCCCAAGAGACACCUAACCAAUCUAGGAGGCACCACCCUCUAAAAGUUAAUAGAUGUGGUAGAACAAUAAACUCCUUGUUCUUGUGCUUCAAAAGAUAGUCUCCUCAACACUCAAUCACUCUCUCUCAGAUUGGGCAGGGGUCGGAGCGAUUGAUCUUGUGGAAAGCACUUGGGGAGGCUAGAAAUCAAGGUUCGAAUGAUUGGAAUGGAAUCUCUAGAUCUCAACACAUGAGUAGGUGGCUCUCUCUUAGAAAAAUGGAUCUGGCAAGUGUAAGUGUGAUCUAAGUGCUUCCUCUAUGAAUAAGAGGUAGGUGGAGGGGUAAAUAUAGGCAUCCCCCAAAAUCCAACCGUUACACAUUAUUGCCCAACUCGGUGACAUCAAAAUGAAUCUCGGUGGUACCGAGUUGCACUAAAUGUGGCAACUUUUGAAUUCUCAAUGAGACCGAAAUAGGAAUCUCGGUGCUACUGAAACGAUGACCUAGACUGGUUUCCAAACUUUAGCCAAUCCUAGUCCUUCUCUUGCAUCAAAGGGCCAUCUGUUGGAAAUAUGCCCUAAAGGCAAUGAUAAAAUAGUUAUUAUUAUAUUUCUUGUUUCAAGAUAAUCGUUUAUUAUCCAUGCUAUAAUCGUAUUGAAUGAAAGCAUAGAUACAUGUGUGGAUAGAUAGACAAAACAAUAUCCCUAGUGAGCCUCUAGUUGACUAGCCAGUUGAUUAAGGAUGGUUAAGGUUUUCUGACCAUAUGCAAGUGUUGUCACUUGAUGACUGGAUCACAUCAUUAGGAGAAUGAUGUGAUGGACAAGACCCAAAUUAUAGUCCAAGGGUGGCUCACCAGCCCUUAGUGGGCUGGUGUGGCUAGCCCAAGUGGGCUAUGGCUCUGGGAAAGAAAAAAGCAAACGAAAAGGAAAAUAGAGGGAGGUGGGAAGGAAGAGGAGGACUCCUCCUUUCCCAAACCGAAUUGGAGUUGGAGUCCUCCUCUCCUCUCUCGACCGACGCCCUAGGGGCUCCCUUGAGCCCCAAGGCUAACCCCUGCCCUCCUCCGAUAUAUACUAGAGGUUUUAAGGUUUUUGAGACACAACCUUGCCACGUGCAACUCAAACCUCUACUUCAUAGUUCUCCCUCUAGAUUGGUUUUCCGCGGAGCUCGGGCGGAGCCCUGUAGGAUUGGAUCAUGACCAUCACCGGCGUGCCGUCACACUGUCGGAGAACUCAUCUACUUCCCCAUCUCUCUUGCUGGAUCAAGAAGGCGGAGAUCGUCAUCGAUCUAUAUGUGUGUUGAACGCGGAGGUGCCAUCCGUUCGGCGCUAGAUCGGAACGGAUCGUGGGACACCAGUGAUUUGAAUCAUGAAGCUGUACCACUACAUCAACCGCGUGUCUUAACGCUUCCCGCUUAGCGAUCUACAAGGGUAUGUGGAUCCGAUCUCCCUCUCAUAGAUGGACAUCACCAUGAUAGGUCUUCGUGUGCGUAGGAAUUUUUUUUACCCAUGCAACGUUCCCCAACACCAUCUCCACACAAUCCUAUAGCCAAAGCAUCUUUAAACUUUUCUGAAAUGUACUUGGAUGAAUUCAUUAGUCCAAUGGUACAUACAUUGUGAUUAAUUACACAAACUACCAUAGGGAGCAAUUGUGCUUUCACCUUGACAAGACCGAAACAUACCUUUAUAACUACCCAAUUGUGGAGUAGCAUUCGAUCGGCUGAAAGCAAGUUUGUCACCAUCCUGAGUACAUGCGCUAGCUCAGAUCUUAGGACAACGUAUGUUGUACUAUAGAAUUACAUAUGACUUAUCGUUGUGUCUCAUAGUUUGGUGUGUCCAACUUGUUAUCUCGACUCGGAUUUGAAUACGUCGAAUCUGAACAGAUCUUUCUUAGUCCAUACGAUCUGGCUUGCAUCCGAUGCUACAUGGUCAGUAAGACCGACCCAUCCAGCAUGUCAUAUGCUAGUCUACUUGGUUGCGCAUCCACACAACCCUUUCGACUAGGGACCAUUUAGGAAAGUCAUCAUACAAUCCAUAGUCUCACAAAUAAGUCACGUACUUGUUAAUACACAUCACUGAUAAUGUCCAAGGACUAUAUUUAUUCAAAAUCACAUAGGAAAUAUCAUCAUACAUGAUUCACUCAUCAUAAGUCAUAGGACUCUGAGUCUUGCUUAGCCUUAUACCAUGUGAUACGGGCAAUAACUCUUUAUUGGCCUCACUCAUGUUGAACUGCUUCAACACUUUGCCUAUGUACGUGCUCUGGCUUAAGCCAAGAAACAUGCUCGAUCUAUCUCUAUAGACCUUGAUGCCUAAAAUAUACACUACUUCUCCAAGGUCUUUCAUCGAAAACUUGCCAUUCAAUGCUUCCUUGACUUAGUUCAGCAUCGAAACAUCACUUUCGAUCAACAGUAUGUCAUCCACAUACAAGACCAAAAACACUAUCAAGCUCCCACUAGACUCUUUGUAUAAACAAUAGUCCUCUUUGUUCUUGCUGAAACCAAGGUCAAUGAUGACUUCAUCAAAACAAACAUUCGAACUCCAAGCUACUUGCCUCAAGACAUAAAUGGGACUAUUGAGCUUGAAUGUUUUACCAGUGUUAGUUGGAUCGACAAAACCUUCCGGUUGUAUCAUGUAUGCAUCCUCUAUAAAUUUUCAUGAAGGAAAGCCAUUUUGGCAUCCAUCUUCCAUAUCUCAUAAUAGAAAUAUGCAACUAUAGCUAGUAUGAUCCUAACCGAUUUUAGCAUCACUUCCGAAGAGUAGGUCCCGUCGUAGUCAAUUCCUUCAACCUGACCAUAACCUUUGGCGACAAGCCGAGCAUUGUGGAUCUGAACAUUUCCAUCCACAUCAUUCUUCUUUUUAAAGACACAUUUGCAACCAAUGGCUAUUACGCCAUGCGACGGAUCUACCAAGUACCAAACUUGAUUGUCAUCCAUGGACUUCAACUCAUAUCUCAUGGCCUAUACGCAUGCCUCAGAAUCUAGGCUAACCAUCGCUCUCGCAUAUGUGGCCGAAUAAUCACUUUCUAGCAACAACACAUCAUGCACUUUGCAUAAUCUUUCCGACCUGUGUGGCUCCGGUGCUGACUACGUUAUGGGUUCCCUCACUAACUCCCGUAUGAUCUCACUACCAGCUGAGUCAUCCCUGAGUGGCUCUUGUAUUUCUUUGAGUCACACCGCUCUCCCACUAGCUUCUCAACUGAGAAACUCUACCUUUAGGAAAAAAAACUGUUCUGAGCAACAAACACUUUGUUCUCUUCUUGGUUGUACAAGUUGUAUCCCAAGGUUUCCCUCGGAUAUCCCACAAAUAUGCAUUUAUACGACUUGGGUGUAAACUUGUCCGACAUGAGUCACUUGAAAAAUGCUUCACAACACCAAAUCUCUAGAAAAGAAAAACUAGGACUCUUCCCUAUCCAUAUCACAAGUGGUAUCAUUCUGUGGAUUUUGAUGGUACCCUCUUAAGUGUGGAAGUUGUAGUUUCUAGAGCAUGUCCCUAGAAUGACAAGGGUAAGUUCAAAUUUCUCAUCACAGACCGUACCAUGUCUAACAAAGUUUGAUUUCUUCGUUCUGGCAUGUCGUUUCUCCAUGGCAUACCCGGAGGUGUGAGCUCACUACAAGAAAUAAGCUCGUUUAUGACAAAAAAUAAUGGCCGCGGUUGAAUUGGUCAUAGAUCUAUGACUAAAAUUUACAAGAAGGUCAUGAGGUGUCUAAGAGGGUCCAAACCCCAGAAAUUUUUGACCAUCUCUAUCAACAAGGUCAUAAUCCCAUUACACAAAAUGGUCACUGGCAUGUGUAGCUCUAUUUAUGCUCGCAUUGUAGGUCCUCCAUGACAAAAUUAAGAAGGUCAUAGGCUUAAAUAGAGGUGACUGGGCAGACAACUCGACAAUUUUUCCUAUGUGUCUUGUAUAGGUGCCGACAAGGCCACAAAGUAUAAGUACGUUCAGAGGUCGGACCCAUAAGUUGAAUUGUUGACCCAACUUACUUGUGGCAUCGAGAUUCGACGUGUGGGGCCGUGUUGGACCCACUGACUUCCUGUCAUGCGCGGGGAGGCUACCCUAGCUCGCAGGUGGGACCAACUAAUUGGGCAUGCUAAUGAAGGAUGUGUUCAAAAGAAGAUAGCUUAACUUGGUAUUUCAGAAAAAAAAUACACAUUAUCUGUCAAAUCCCUGAUCCCAAUUAGGGUUUAGCAAGUUUGAGCUCAUAUUUUCUUCCAUUGCAUCUUAAGAUUUUGAAUUGCACUCAAGGAAGGAAAAUAAAUCCAAAUCAAAGUAAAGAAAACCAAAGCAAAACCCUAGCCAUCUUUUAUUCAAAAGAAUUCCAACAAGUGCCAAAUCAAUGAACCCAAAAUGGCCAUUAGAAAAGUUCAUCCUUUCUGAUAAAUGUAGAAAAUAAUAUAUCAGAGAUGAAACCUAUUUUCAAAAUACUUUUGCCAUUUUAAAUUGAAGUUAAAAGCUACUGAAAUCAACUAUAUAUUUGAUUUCAAAUAAUUCAAAGUUUCCAAAAAUGUUGAAAACUUUACGAGUGGUUGGAAAUAUUCCAACUAACACUCUGGUAGUUUUCAAACUAUUUUAGGAAUAGUUUGGAGCCAAAAAUAAAACAAAACAAAUGUCAGAAAGAAAAAAAAACAGAAAAGAAAAGAAAUGCAAAAAGUCUUACCUGUCGCUCACCUGGCCCAGGCCCAGCUGCUCCCCGUCGUCUUCCUUGCCAGCGAGCAGCAGGAGGUGGCCGCCACUCGUUCCGGCGCGGCCACGCACCUGUGCGUCUGCCUGGCCACCGCAUCGCGCUGGCGCACAGGGGAUAAGCUCCCCGAAGGCCUUCCCGUGCUCAUCCCCUCGCCAUUCGACCCUACUCUCUUCUCCCCUCUCGUCCGCCAUGACCGCAAGCUUGAGCUCGAGCUCGCCGUCACUCCAGCCACUCUCCCUCUCACCUGAGCUGCGCGUUAGCUUCGCCGUGAUCUCCUAAAACUCUCCAGCCAGUCGCUCGAUGCCGAGAAGCUCUGAAACGCUGUGACGCCGUCAUCUUCCUCCUCGGGUCACCGAAGCUCGCCACCGUCGUUCUCCCUCCUCAGGCCAUCCCCGAGCCCACUCUCGAUGCCUCUGCACUCCCCGUGAGCUCAGGGUUCUUUCCCCCAAGUUUUACCCCUCGAUCCCUUCCUCUAGGCCCCGAUUCCACUGGAGCCCGACGAGAUCCGCCGCGGAACCUCGUCGCCGGUAGCUCGCCGGUGAUCGGCUGGUCAUUCUGAGGCCACCAAUGGCUUCAGUGCGUCGCGUACAUGGUGUAGGAGCAAAGCCCCGCGCGAAAUGCCCUCUGUUUUGAUGAUCCCAUUAUAGCCCGAGCUUCGGCCUCCGCCAAGCUCGUCACCGGCGUUAUCUCCGGCCAUCUUAGCCUCGGUUCUUUGCAGAAAUGGAACUGCGGCUGAGUGCUGGUUCGUUUGGUGCCCUGCGCGUGAAGUUUGGUCGCCGGAAUGAGAUUCCCGAGCCCGUCCGCCACCUGUGUGGUCGCCGGAGGCUCACCGCUAGCGAGAUCGACCUCGCCGCCGGUGGAUCUGACUCCCCAGAGUCACUGGCAUGUGGCGCCAGCCCCCUGACUAAUUAAGUUAGGUUAAUAAAAAUAAUUAAUUAAAUAAAAGCUUAAACGAACACUGACAGGUGAGUCUUACUCUGUAAAUUAGAUAAUUAAGUUAAAUUUAAACUAAGACAUGGCCAAAGUCACUGACCAGUGGGUCCCACUGGUCAGGUUUGACUUUCAGCGGCCAGUUGGACCUGCUGAUGUCAUGCUGAUGCAAUAAAACCUUUACAGUUUAAAAACAAUUCCAGAAUAAGUUCAAAACUUUGGAAAUUCAUAGAAAAUUGAAUAUAACUCCAAAUUUGACCAAUAAUAUAUGUAAAAGGAUCAGAAAAAUUCAAGGAAUCCAAUGGUGCUAUUUUCAUGCAUGAAGAACAAAGUGAUGAAACAAGAUCAGGUCAAAUCAAUUAAAAGAAUAUGAUAAAUUAUAAUUCAAAUGAUAUUUGAAUUAUGAUUUCAAAUCAAGAUCACCCAAAGGGUUCUGCUAGUCAUCUCAAACCAUGCUACAUUGCAUUUCAUGCAUCAUUUUGUUGCAUAUGUUUGAUAUUGAUUGAUUGUUGUUAUUCCGGUAGGCUCCGCCCCUCCGGAUACAUCUGAUUAUCCGACUCACGGAUAUCACCCCUCUGCUGAGCAACAAGGCAAGCAACUAUUUUGAUCAUCUCGAUAAAUCCCAUGUUCUCGCUCCUGCUCUUACUUAAUGCAUUAGGUCAAAAUGCUUUCAACGCUUUUACCACGUUAGUUGAACCCACUUCCUUUGCAUGACCUGUCCUUGUCACGGUAAAUAGCUGAACCUUGCAACCUAGCAUACCUGGUAGAUGCUUGAGCCAUGAUGUGUCUUUUCCUGCAAUGCAUGCUAUGCUUAGAGUUGUGUAUGGUCUGUCAUCUGGGUGAUGAACAGGAUCGUGAGAAUGUGUUGAGUUAGUAAAGGUUGUGUGUUGACCCUGAUUUGGUAAAGGUACUGGUGAAAGGCUAUGUAGGAGUACAUGGCGGGUUGUUUCAUUGGAACCGUCCUUAGGAACUGAGUUCCGUGUAUGUAAUCCAUGACAAGAUACUACCACAUGCUGGGCCCUGAAAUAUGACCCCGCUCAACUUAUUAACCGCUUAGUACUCGGUCCAGGAGUUGCAAGUAGUUUCUGGUGUUUAUAGUCAUGCUGGAGGCCGUGCGUAGCGCUGACCUUAGAGGUGGGCUAUGAUGCGGUAGGCAGUGGCACGGUGUACCAAGUGGCACCCGGAUGGUGGGCUUGGGAACCCUGCGCACAUCGUUUGGGACCAUGGCGGAAUCCUCGGCCGGACUUCCGUGCGGGUUACCCUCAGAUAGGCGAUAGACCUCGACUAAGUAUUAGCGUGGUUAACGGUUGUGGCCGACUCCCUCGUUGGGCUUCCGCUUGAAGGUUGCCGAGGUGCAUGCUGUGCACAUGGUGAUAAGUGGCAAGAGUGUGUGUGAAGAAGUACACCCCUGCAGGGUUAUGAUCUAUUCGAAUAGCCGCGUCCGCGGAUAUGGACUACUUGGAAACAUAUGUUGUUCAUAGAUAACUAUAAUGGCUACUCAUAAAAUUGUCAAGAUAAGUGUGAGUGUCGUGGACGACAUUUUCGUAGGGAGACGGAAUGAUUCCACGAUGGAGUAUUGUUGUGGUGUUAGUGGACUCGUGUGCGAGAAAUCAAAGUUGUCAGAAUUAUUCAAAAAUGCAAGUUGUCUAGCCAAGAGUCAAAUCCUGGCUUUCCGCAUGAAACGCCACAACUCCUUGUUGAUACAUUGCAUGAGUAGAUAGAUUUCCUAAAGUCUUGCUGAGUACUUUCGUACUCACAUUUGCUUAAUAAAUUGUUGCAGAGAUUGUUAAUGACCCUAAUGGAGGGUUCUACCUAGACGUUGACGAUGACGAGUAGCUGGUAUCACAGCUACGAUCUGGCCCUAGGUUGGGUCUGUAGAUAGUCAGACCAUGUGCCUUUAUCUUUCCAUCUGUCUGUACUCAGACAGUUUUAAUCUUCCGUUGCAUUGUAAAACUCGUAUGUAUGACUUGUGAUGAUGGGUCGUAAGACCCCUAUCUGUGUAAUACUAUAUGUGAGGUUCUUCCGAGCCAUCUAAAUAAAGGUUGUAUGUUUAUGGUUAUGUUGUGAUGCC
Molecule: long non-coding RNA, 41630 nt
Filed under: Hordeum vulgare
Lineage: Eukaryota; Viridiplantae; Streptophyta; Magnoliopsida; Poales; Poaceae
Description: long non-coding RNA (HVUL_LNC015340)
Source: RNAcentral